This 1067-nucleotide ribosomal RNA is filed under the name uncultured bacterium. RNAcentral describes it as "bacterial SSU rRNA". It matches the Rfam family "Bacterial small subunit ribosomal RNA", at positions 1 to 1031 of the family's 1533-position model. The record is from RNAcentral.
AUAAAAGGUUUGAUCCUGGCUCAGAUUAGAAGCGCUGGCGGCAUGCCUAACACAUGCAAGUCGAACGGCAGCCACAGCAGUAGCAAUACUGUGGGUGGCGAGUGGCGGACGGGUGAGUAAUGCAUCGGGACCUACCCAGACGUGGGGGAUAACCUCCGGGGAAACCCGGGACUAAUACCGCAUACGUCCUACGGGAGAAAAGCGGGGGACCUUCGGGCCUCGCGCGGUUGGACGGACCGAUGUGCGAUUAGCUAGUUGGUAGGGUAAUGGCCUACCACAGGCGACGAAUCGCUAGCUGGUCUGAGAGGAUGAUCAGCCACACUGGGACUGAGACACGGCCCAGACUCCUAGGGGAGUUCAAGCUGUGGGGAAUAUUGGACAAUGGGCGAAAGCCUGAUCCAGCAAUGCCGCGUGUGUGAAGAAGGCCUUCGGGUUGUAAAGCACUUUUAUUAGGAAGGGAAAUCCCAUCGGGUAAUAACCGGCGGGGAAAAAAAAAAAACMURAGGAAUAAGCCCCCGCUUACUUUCUUGCCAGCCGGCCGCGGUAAUACGAAAGGUGCCAAGCGUUAAUCGGAAUUACUGGGCGUAAAAGGGUGCGUAGGCGGUUUCGUUAAGUCUCGUCGUGAAAUCCCCCGGGCUCAACCUGGGAAUUGGCGAAUGGAUACUCUGGCGAGCUAGAGUGUGUCAGAGAGAUGGUGGAAUUCCCGGUGUAGCCGGUGAAAUGCGUAGAGAUCGGGAGGAAGAUCAGUGGCGAAGGCGGCCAUCUGGGACAACACUGACGCUGAAGCACGAAAGCGUGGGGAGCAAACAGGUUUAAUUACCCUGGUAGUCCACGCCCUAAACGAUGCGCGCUCGAUGUUGGUCUCAACUCGGAGAUCAUUGUCGAAGCUAACGCGUUAAGUCGCCCGCCUGGAGUUGACGGUCGCAAGACUGAAACUCAAAGGAAUUGACGGGGGCCCGCACAAGCGGUGGAGUAUGUGGUUUAAUUCGAUGCAACGCGAAGAACCUUACCUGGCCUUGACAUGUCCGGAAUCCUGCAGAGAUGCGGGAGUGCCUUCGGGAAUCGGA